UACGUAGGGGGCGAGCGUUGUCCGGAGUUACUGGGCGUAAAGCGCACGCAGGCGGUCUGCUAAGUUUGGAGUGACAGUUGGUGGCUUAACUGCCAAAGUGCUUCGAAAACUGACAGACUUGAGGGCUUCAGAGGGACACGGAAUUCCGGGUGGAGUGGUGAAAUGCGUAGAGAUCCGGAGGAACACCGGUGGCGAAGGCGGCUUCCUGGUCUGCAACUGACGCUGUGGCGCGAAAGCUAGGGGAGCAAACGGG
This 253-nucleotide ribosomal RNA is filed under the name uncultured bacterium. RNAcentral's name for it is "partial 16S ribosomal RNA". It matches the Rfam family "Bacterial small subunit ribosomal RNA", at positions 524 to 776 of the family's 1533-position model. The record is from RNAcentral.